AUGCACGCUGGCGGCGUGCCUAAUACAUGCAAGUAGAACGCUGAAGGAGGAGCUUGCUCUUCUGGAUGAGUUGCGAACGGGUGAGUAACGCGUAGGUAACCUGCCUGGUAGCGGGGGAUAACUAUUGGAAACGAUAGCUAAUACCGCAUGACAACAGUUAUUGCAUGAUAACUGUUUAAAAGGGGCAACUGCUCCACUACCAGAUGGACCUGCGUUGUAUUAGCUAGUUGGUGAGGUAACGGCUCACCAAGGCGACGAUACAUAGCCGACCUGAGAGGGUGAUCGGCCACACUGGGACUGGGACACGGCCCAGACUCCUACGGGAGGCAGCAGUAGGGAAUCUUCGGCAAUGGACGGAAGUCUGACCGAGCAACGCCGCGUGAGUGAAGAAGGUUUUCGGAUCGUAAAGCUCUGUUGUAAGAGAAGAACGAGUGUGAGAGUGGAAAGUUCACACUGUGACGGUAUCUUACCAGAAAGGGACGGCUAACUACGUG
This 494-nucleotide ribosomal RNA is filed under the name uncultured bacterium. RNAcentral describes it as "partial 16S ribosomal RNA". It matches the Rfam family "Bacterial small subunit ribosomal RNA", at positions 29 to 507 of the family's 1533-position model. The record is from RNAcentral.